CGCUGGCGGCGUGCCUAACACAUGCAAGUCGAGCGGAGAUAUAUUGAAGGUUUACCGGAUAUAUAUCUUAGCGGCGGACGGGUGAGUAACGCGUGGGCAACCUGCCUUAUACAGGGGGAUAACACAGGGAAACUUGUGCUAAUACCGCAUAAUAUCAUUGUAUGGCAUCAUACGAUGAUCAAAGGAGCAAUCCGGUAUGAGAUGGGCCCGCGUCCGAUUAGCUAGUUGGUGGGGUAACAGCUCACCAAGGCGACGAUCGGUAGCCGAACUGAGAGGUUGAUCGGCCACAUUGGGACUGAGACACGGCCCAGACUCCUACGGGAGGCAGCAGUGGGGAAUAUUGCGCAAAUGGGGGAAACCCUGACGCAGCAACGCCGCGUGAAGGAUGAAGGCCUUCGGGUUGUAAACUUCUUUGAUUGGGGAAGAAGAAAGUGACUGUACCCAAAAAACAAGCCACGGCUAACUACGUGCCAGCCGCCGC
This 481-nucleotide ribosomal RNA is filed under the name uncultured bacterium. RNAcentral describes it as "bacterial SSU rRNA". It matches the Rfam family "Bacterial small subunit ribosomal RNA", at positions 34 to 518 of the family's 1533-position model. The record is from RNAcentral.